RNAcentral lists this long non-coding RNA (937 nucleotides) under Parus major (Great Tit). RNAcentral describes it as "lncRNA (ENSPMJG00000011860.1)". The record is from RNAcentral. Lineage: Eukaryota; Metazoa; Chordata; Aves; Passeriformes; Paridae.
GUUUUCUCAGCUGUAAGGAAUGUGGUCCAUCCAGGCACUGCUACCAAGCAUGGCAGGCUGUCUCCCUUUUCCUCUCACACACUUGUGUUGCUACACCCGCAUCAGGAAUACUUAUUCCUGGGCAGUGUCUGGUAUUUUGCUAAUAUUUUGGCCCGGGUUUAGAUGAUACUUUAAAGGUAUUUCUCCAAGAGAAGCUGAACCUGCCAAUUUUUGCCCUUUCUCAGCCUUGUGGACCAUUCUUCAGCGCCAUGCAGACAUAGAGGUUCACACAAUUAUUUGUCCUGUCUGUGGCUCUUCCUACACAGCCUGUAUUGAGCCUGUGCUGGUGAUACAGAUGCAAAGGAGAAAGGACGUGCCUGUUGCUGGAAAAGGGAGCUCCUGCCUCUGAGGAUAUCCUCUGUACAUUUCUGCUUCAAUCAAUCCUUCAGAUAUUGCCCUAAAGAUUACUUGCCUUCUUUUGCUAUGCCAGGUGGUCUCCUAUUGACUGAAACACAGAACAGGGACACCUGUGAGAUCGCAUUUCUGAGGUGUGCUGAAUGCCAUUGAAGCUCAUUGACUCCUUGAAUCAUCACCUCAUGCAAACACACCUCAGAAGAUCAAAAAGCUGCAGGCUGUGAUCUUCCUGAGAGGAUCUGCAGAUGGCUGCCAUUUAUCUAGACAGAUGAACUCAUUAACAGGAGAAGGAGAAGCAGAGACACACGGACUGACAUUUCUACUGUGUGGUUUGAAUCUACAGUGUAAUGCCCAGGGUCUCUACUGCCCUUGGGAUGCUCAUCUGUGCAGUGGUUUCACAGUGUCAAAAAAUUCAAGAAGUACUUCAAAUUCUGAACAGGUAUAUUCAAACUUUUUCUGUGAUAAAAGGUAUAAAUGCUGAAGACAUCUGAAGUGACUUUUGGUGGGUUUCUACAAAAAUCAGAACAUUUUUGAACUCUUUAUC